Molecule: long non-coding RNA, 4788 nt
Organism: Parus major (Great Tit)
Lineage: Eukaryota; Metazoa; Chordata; Aves; Passeriformes; Paridae
Exons: 2
Source: RefSeq, a predicted model, not a curated record
UGAUGCAAAAAUGUGCGUACUCCGUACAGGUCAUUCAGCAGUGUGCAGACUUCAGUUUAAUUUUACCACCCUUUCAAUCUUUGACCAUGCCAAGGUCAUGACUGAUCAUUGUCCAAUACAGACAGGGAUGCCCCCUCUGGGCUGUCUCAGACCUGCUGAGGGAGGUGUCCUGCUGCUGGACAAUGGAUGCACUUUUUCCCCUUGACCUGUUCUGAUAGUCUUAAAAGAAACAAUUUUAACUGCAUGCUGCAGGAUACACUUACCUUGUCAUUAGACUUUGGUUAUUCCUGUAUCUUACCUCUCAGUGGAAAAUUAGGUAUACGCCAGAGAGGAAUCACAUGUGUAGCCUUCUUCUUCCUGUUAUUUUCAUUCACCUACAGAAUUUUCAUGUACCUGUGGAUAAUUCUUCUUCUCUCUUUUAUUAUCUACUUUGUCUUUUGUGUUACAUUAUUUUCCUGUAUCUUUUGCCAUUUAAUUCCUAAUGAAAAGCAUUUGUUUGCUCAUCAUGGUGUUUUUCCCAUAACAAGAACACCCAUGUAAUUUCCUGUGAAUCUAAGGGUGAACUGUUAUUGACUUUUUAAAUUCCAGUUAGUUGCUUUCACACCAGACCAGGGUUUUUUGAUUGCAGCAAUGUUGUGCAGAUCCUAAAAUGGAUUUUAAAUCAGCCAGAUUUUGUCCUUGGAGUGUGAGUUAAAUAAAGUACUGUCCUUUCAGGUCCUUUUUUUUUUUUAACUAGGCAAAAUGAACUGAAUGAAUGAUCCUUUUCUCCACUCCUGAAUUCCUUUCUGCAUUUCCCAUAUUAUCUUCUUCCCUUCAUUGCUCUGUUUCUUUCACAUCUUCAUUCACAAGCUGUAUCACUGUUGUUGACUGCUCCAUCUUGGUCUCUGUCACCUGUGGGAGGUCAGUGUGACUUGAGGUUUUGGUAAUGGUGUGAUACCUGUGGUGGAUUGAUGCCAAAUCCUCUGCACAUCUGCUGCUCUUCCAGCACUGCCCUUUGUAUCUGGUGCUCUUUUCUGCAUAAUCACUGGGAUAAAAUGGAUCCCAGCAAUCUGACGAAAUCCAAGCUGCCAUUUCUGAACUAUUCUUAAGUUUUUGAUAUGCAGAAAAGAGUGGAAAAUAUGGACAUAUUUGUGAGUGAUAUCAUAAGGUUGCUUCUCUCUUUUAUCUUUUCUCAGUGUAAGUGGGGAGCUUUAGCAACAUCAUCCUUGCCUGCUGCACUUCUUCCUUGAUGCUUUUAGUUCAAAUAAACUUGCAUUUAAGCCUAGACAGAACCAACCUGUAGAGAGUGAACUGCCUGACAAGAGCUCAUUCCCAGCAUAAAUAAUAAAUAAAAAUGUGUUUUUAACACAUUUUACUCUCUGGAGUUGCUGCCUUGGGUUAGGUAAAUAAUGAGAAAAGAACAGGUAGCAAAGUAGAAAUCAACUGUAGUAAAUUGUACUGCCAAUAUUAGAAGGGUAUUUUUCAUUGUUCUGUUUAAACCAUGACCAUAAACACAUUAUAAGUACAGGAAUACGUGUGUAAAUAUACUUAUUAGUUGCGUUUUCUUCCCAACUGCUAUCAUAAUCUAUGCCUGCCUUUAAAAAUUAAUUUUGUGUGGAUAGUAUAUAAAAAUGAUUUUUAAAGGCUCAUAAAUUAAUACUUUUAAGCUUUGUUUUAGUUGUUCCCUGUUCAGCAGGAUGUAUGUUCUACAUCACUAGAGUUAAGAAGUCAACUUACAGUGUAGUAUGCAGUACAUAGGAUUUACUUAUGCUGAGGCCUUUGCUGAGAAUUUAGUAAAGAAUUUAUCCAGUUUUAAUAGGAAAUACUGGAAUAUUCCAAGAACCAAACAGGCUCCAACUUUUGAUCUAGUAAAUCAGUCUACAAAUGGAAAAAAGCAUGACCUUGUGUUCAAAACUGUGGCUGCUUUGGAAACAUUUCAGUAGCGCUGAGCCCUGGUACCAAUAAAAGUUUAUGGUGGCCUUAGUGACCCCUCCUGCCCAGGGUGAUUUCCUGAGCCAGUAUUUAAGUGUUAAGUCCACAAAUCUUAGAGCAUGUGGGUCUGGGUUGUUUCCCUUUUCCUGCUGUGUUCCAUGCUGGAUGCUGUGUUGGUAAGGAAAGUGCCCAGGUCUUUAACUGAGCGGAUGGAUUGCUUAAAUCCCACAUAAGUCACACCACCCUCUUUCCACCUAUGUCCAUGGGGUUCCCCAGGACCAGUCUGCUGGGAGCUGUGGGGCUCCCAGCACAUUCCACACCUUGAGCAGCAAGGAUGGGCUCUGCUCAAAAAACCAGGGCUGCCCAACAAUUGACUCAGUACAAAAAGUUGGGUGCCCUUGUCUGAUUGCUGGCAGUAGCUUAGGAAAUGAGGAGCAAGAAUAGUGUGACAGCAAAAGAGGUACUUAGGCACUUCUCUAGAGGAAUAAAUAUUGUUCAGAUUGUAUUAAUGAUGCUUUUCUGGUUUUGUUUGUUUAUUUCUUUUACAGGGAUAAGGAAGAAGAAUUAUGCUUCUUUAAUUUGAAAUACAAUUGGUAACUCUUCAACAUUAAUCCUAAAAACUGCUUCUACAGUUUUCUUGAUUUUUUUUGCUUCAUCAUACAAAACAAGCAUGCACAAAGUGUAAUUGCCCUCAGGAUGAGAUCCCUACAAGUGUGCAGAUAGCAGCUUUCUCAUGUAUCUUCUCACCCAUUUUCAUCUUUGUGGAAAUCCAGUGACUAUUGUAACCCUUUUUAAAGAGCUUGGUGUGCCCAGCUGGAGCACGUAUCGUGUAAGGCUGACCCCUGUGCUCCUCAGCUGUACAGUCUGCAUUACAAGCUUUAACUUCCCACUGGGAUUUGAGCUGGCUGCCUCUUAAAGGAGACGAACGCUUCUCCACCUUCCUCAUGCCUGAUAAGUCCAUAGGUGUUGUGAUUAGAGUAUCAGUGUAAAACAGAACAGUACUUGGGACUGCAGGACAGUGCAGGUACCAGAGUAGAUGGUUCCCUGUGACACACACGUGUGCAGGACGUUCAAUAUAAUACUAGCAUCCCUGUUCCAAAAUGUUUCUGUCCUACCUUUUCCUGUUUCGGUGCUCGGAGUGGAGUUUCACGUUGCAGUUUACAAGAUACAGGUUUGCACACACAACCUCAGGUUUACAGUUUCACCCGGUGUACUUGAAAGGAAAGAAAAAAAUGCAUAGAAAACAAGUGCCCAGGAUUUCAACAUGUGUUUGUUGGAGGCAAAUUUUGCAGGGUUUUUUUUUUUUUUCACUGCCUGUGGAGAUGAAAGCAAUUGAAUGAAGGAAUACCAACAGCUAUUUAUUUUCUCAGGGGAGAUUACUUCAGUGGAAUGUGUCAAUACUAAUGUCAAACAGUGUUUACUUGAUUUUGUCUGUUACUAAAAAGACUUCUCGUUUGCAUCAAGGGGUCAGUUUUGCAAGGUGCUUCGCUUUGCAAACCCAGCAAAGCCUUCACAUGCAUCUCCAACUUCAGAUAUCUAAACAGAUUCCUGGGGACUUCAAUGGAAGGACUUUUUCCUUCUCCCAUCUAUGCAAAGCUUUGCUGAACUCAUCCCAGAGUGCUGAGUGCCUUGCAGACCUGAGCACCAGGUUCUUCACUUUCCAAAACCCGAGCUCUGGCCUUGAGUCAAGCCGGACCCAGCAGAUAAUGCCGCAAAACGUCACCAGAAAAAAACUCUGGUAAUAUGGUGCUCCUCCAUGUAUACCCAGUGGUGAAUUUCUCCAGUGGAUGGGGUGAUGUGUAACCACAUAUCUUGGAUUAGAGUCAAGUCCUCCAUGUCAGGGCUCACAAGCUGCUAGUAUUAUAUGUUUCACAGUGCAGUCAUAGUAUGUUACGGCUGAAAUUCACCCCAUGUGCAAAGCAGGGCAAAAUCCUGGGCACCACCCAAGUUCCCUCCCAGCCCUGCUGUCAGGGUUUGGGGGCUGCGCCAGCCAACUCUCCAUGCAUUUUAGGUCAGGAUCCAAUUAAAAGAGUUUGAGUGGGACUGGAGUGAUGCAUCAGAAUGUUGUUCUGGUCUUUUGCAACAGGGUUGAUUUCACUCAGUAUCAAAUUUAGCCCUUGGUGAAUCAAUUGGUGAAUGAUUUGAAAUGUAUUUAUGGGUUGUGUGGGGUGUUUUUCCCCCUUGUCUGUAUUCAAUGCUACCUUUAUUCUUUAUUGUUGAUGGCCAAAGUGUCAUUCCUUAUGCUUAUAUAUUGCCAUUAACUUGUGGCUACCUGAGAACACAUACUUCAAAAAUGCUUGUGCUUUUUUUUUUUCCCACCUAUUUCUUUUUUUUUAAAUUUUCUUUUUUUUGCCCCCCACCCCUUCCUUUUUCCUUUCAUUUUUAAAGGGGUGUGUUAGUUAUCGGUGUAAAGAUAUUUAAAAGUGCAAAUGUGAAGGAUAAUGAUUGUUAAGAGGAUGUGGGUGGUAUGUCUGAUGAGAGAGGGGUGGGCUGUAAGGAAAAGGGGAAAAUGCCAUGAACGUGUUGAUGAUUGUUGCCUGUGGAGGAAGAAUUAAGAAACAGAAGAUGUAUAACUGGAGAGAAAUGGACUCUCUGAGCUGCUCUCAAUGGAGACAACACUGUGGCAAGUGUGUAGCUGAAACCUGAAGUGAUCCCACGAUGUGGGCCUGGGAUUGAAGGACGGCGGAGUCGCUCUGGGAAUUGCACAGUGGGAACACUUCAGUGUGUCACAGCCACGUGAGAACAGACUGUCUGAAACCACCAAGUACCAAAGUCUGUAACUGAAUGAGUUGGCAUUUGUAUUAUGUUGGGGUUUGUUUUGUUUUGUUUUUUUCUUGAAUGUUAUGACAAAUAAAAUGUAUUUUUCAGUAAAAGACA